Long non-coding RNA from Parus major (Great Tit), 562 nucleotides. RefSeq lists it as uncharacterized. The record is from RefSeq and is a predicted model, not a curated record. Lineage: Eukaryota; Metazoa; Chordata; Aves; Passeriformes; Paridae. The transcript is spliced from 2 exons.
GCCCCGCCCCGCCGUGUCCCCGCCCGCAGGGCUGACCACGCCCCCGGUGGCGGCCCCGCCCUCCGCGUUCUCUUGGCUCAUUUCCGGCCGCCGCCGCCACCGCCGCUUCCCUCCGAGGGCUCGGGAGAGCGAAGGAACAACAGCCGCCAUUUUGUUUGUGUCUCCCCUUUCUGCAGCCAUUAGCGACGGGCGAGGAAGAAGCGAGUGGAGCUGGGGACCCCGCGCACGCUGUGCCACUCCCCCCGCCGCCUCCCCCCCAGCCCUGUCGCUGGCGGUGGGUAUUUUUUCGCAGGGUGGUGUUGGAGGGGGAAGGAGCCGCUGCUAGAGGACGGUGAUCUUUUUUUCUUUUUUCCUCCUCCUCUCCCCUCCUUCGCCCGCCUCCUUGUGGCGAUGAGGAGGAGGAGGACGGCGCCGAGGAGGAAGAGGCUGAUGGCGGCGGUGAGGAGGCAGCAGGAGGAGGAGACCCCACGAAGGAUGAAGAUGAUGAUGGUGGCGGCGGCGAGGAAGCACCAGCACAACAGCCGGGAUUAAUUUUACUAAAAAAAAAAAAAAAAAAAAAUUC